RNAcentral lists this ribosomal RNA (264 nucleotides) under Halomonas sp. RNAcentral describes it as "partial 23S ribosomal RNA". It matches the Rfam family "Bacterial large subunit ribosomal RNA", at positions 2414 to 2677 of the family's 2925-position model. Lineage: Bacteria; Pseudomonadati; Pseudomonadota; Gammaproteobacteria; Oceanospirillales; Halomonadaceae. The record is from RNAcentral.
AGUGAUCCGGUGGUCCCGAAUGGAAGGGCCAUCGCUCAACGGAUAAAAGGUACUCUGGGGAUAACAGGCUGAUACCGCCCAAGAGUUCACAUCGACGGCGGUGUUUGGCACCUCGAUGUCGGCUCAUCUCAUCCUGGGGCUGUAGUCGGUCCCAAGGGUAUGGCUGUUCGCCAUUUAAAGAGGUACGUGAGCUGGGUUUAAAACGUCGUGAGACAGUUUGGUCCCUAUCUGCCGUGGGCGUAGGAAGUUUGAGGGGAGCUGCUC